AGGGCACCACCAGGAGUGGAGCCUGCGGCUUAAUUUGACUCAACACGGGGAAACUUACCCGGCCUGGACACUGGAAGGAUUGACAGAUUGAGAGCUCCUUCUUGAUUCAGUGGGUGGUGGUGCAUGGCCGUUCUUAGUUGGUGGAGCGAUUUGUCUGGUUAAUUCCGAUAACGAACGAGACUCUAGCCUAUUAAAUAGGCUCUCGGCUUUUAAACGCCGGGAGGACUUCUUAGAGGGACAGGUGGCGGUUCAGCCGCACGAAAGAGAGCAAUAACAGGUCUGUGAUGCCCUUUGUUGUCCGGGGCCGCACGCGCGCUACACUGAAGAGAUCAGCGUGCUUUACGUUCCUGCUCCGACCGGAGUGGGGAACCCAGUGAACCUUCUUCGUGAUUGGGAUAGAAGAUUGUAAUUAUUCUUCUUGAACGAGGAAUUCCCAGUAAAUGCGAGUCAUAAGCUCGCGUUGAUUACGUCCCUGCCCUUUGUACACACCGCCCGUCGCUACUACCGAUUGAACGAUUU
RNAcentral lists this ribosomal RNA (519 nucleotides) under uncultured eukaryote. Its description in RNAcentral is "SSU rRNA". It matches the Rfam family "Eukaryotic small subunit ribosomal RNA", at positions 1161 to 1699 of the family's 1831-position model. The record is from RNAcentral.